This 464-nucleotide ribosomal RNA is filed under the name uncultured bacterium. Its description in RNAcentral is "bacterial SSU rRNA". It matches the Rfam family "Bacterial small subunit ribosomal RNA", at positions 330 to 792 of the family's 1533-position model. The record is from RNAcentral.
CCCAGACUCCUACGGGAGGCAGCAGUGAGGAAUAUUGGUCAAUGGCCGCAGGGCUGAACCAGCCAAGUCGUGUGAGGGAUGACGGUCCUAUGGAUUGUAAACCUCUUUUGUCAGGGAGCAAAGGGCGCCACGUGUGGCGUUUUGCGAGUACCUGAAGAAAAAGCAUCGGCUAACUCCGUGCCAGCAGCCGCGGUAAUACGGAGGAUGCGAGCGUUAUCCGGAUUUAUUGGGUUUAAAGGGUGCGCAGGCGGAAUGUCAAGUCAGCGGUAAAAUUUCGGGGCUCAACCCCGGCGAGCCGUUGAAACUGGCUGUCUUGAGAUGUCGAGAGGUAUGCGGAAUGCGCAGUGUAGCGGUGAAAUGCUUAGAUAUUGCGCAGAACUCCGAUUGCGAAGGCAGCAUACCGGCGGCGAUCUGACGCUGAGGCACGAAAGCGUGGGUAUCGAACAGGAUUAGAUACCCGCGUA